AUUCCAGCUCCAAUAGCGUACAUUAAAGUUGUUGCAGUUAAAAAGCUCGUAGUUGGAUUUCUGGUGUCGCAGUGCUUCCGCGUGUUUAAUUACAUGUCGAGUUGUGUUUGCGUCGCCAUCUUUUAGCAGCACCCUCCUGGCAUUAGGUUGUUGGGUUGGUAAUGCUAAUCGUUUACUGUGAAGAAAUUAGAGUGUUCAAAGCAGGCUUAUGCCGUUGAAUACGUUAGCAUGGAAUAACGAGAUAGGACCUUGAUACUAUUUUGUUGGUUUACGCAUCAAGGUAAUGAUUAAUAGGGACAGUUGGGGGUAUUCGUAUUCCAUUGUCAGAGGUGAAAUUCUUGGAUUUAUGGAAGACGAACUACUGCGAAAGCAUUUACCAAGGAUGUUUUCAUCA
RNAcentral lists this ribosomal RNA (394 nucleotides) under Leptocylindrus sp. RNAcentral describes it as "partial small subunit ribosomal RNA". It matches the Rfam family "Eukaryotic small subunit ribosomal RNA", at positions 582 to 975 of the family's 1831-position model. Lineage: Eukaryota; Bacillariophyta; Leptocylindrophyceae; Leptocylindrales; Leptocylindraceae. The record is from RNAcentral.